GCCAGCCUGGUAUGGUGGUUUGAGCGCUGGACUAGUACUCUGGAGACCAGGGUUCGAAUCCCCACUUGGUCA
Non-coding RNA from Phrynosoma platyrhinos (Desert horned lizard), 72 nucleotides. NCBI's taxonomy places the organism in Eukaryota, Metazoa, Chordata, Lepidosauria, Squamata, Phrynosomatidae. The record is from the annotation of a GenBank genome assembly.